GAUGAACGCUGGCGGCGUGCUUAACACAUGCAAGUCGAACGGAAAGGCUCCUGCUUGCAGGGGUACUCGAGUGGCGAACGGGUGAGUAACACGUGGGUGAUCUGCCCUGCACUUCGGGAUAAGCCUGGGAAACUGGGUCUAAUACCGGAUAGGACCAUCGUUUAGUGUCGGUGGUGGAAAGUUUUUUCGGUGUGGGAUGAGCUCGCGGCCUAUCAGCUUGUUGGUGGGGUAAUGGCCUACCAAGGCGUCGACGGGUAGCCGGCCUGAGAGGGUGUACGGCCACAUUGGGACUGAGAUACGGCCCAGACUCCUACGGGAGGCAGCAGUGGGGAAUAUUGCACAAUGGGCGCAAGCCUGAUGCAGCGACGCCGCGUGGGGGAUGACGGCCUUCGGGUUGUAAACUCCUUUCGCCAGGGACGAAGCGAAAGUGACGGUACCUGGAUAAGAAGCACCGGCUAGCUACGUG
RNAcentral lists this ribosomal RNA (466 nucleotides) under uncultured bacterium. RNAcentral's name for it is "partial 16S ribosomal RNA". It matches the Rfam family "Bacterial small subunit ribosomal RNA", at positions 28 to 507 of the family's 1533-position model. The record is from RNAcentral.